GUCUGCACGGGUAGUUUGAUGUGCAGUCUGGCCUGCCCCCUGAAGUUUUUAAAGGGCCGCGGUAUUUGGACCGUGCUAAGGUAGCAUAAUAAAUAGUCUUUUAAUUGAAGUCUAGUAUGAAUGGUCGGACAUGAAGUAAGCUGUUUUAACUUUGAUGUUUGAAUUUUACCUUUAAGUGAAAAGGCUUAAAUUAAAUGGUGGGACGAUAAGACCCUAUAAAGCUUACAUUUUAUUCUUCGGUUGUGGGAUUUAAGGUUUCUUAUUCUUAUAGAGUAAAGUGUUUCGUUGGGGCGACGGGAAUAUAAAAAUAAGUAACUGUUUUUGCUUGAAAAAUACAUCUUUGUAGGCGAGUUGAUCCUUCUUUAAAGAUUACAAGAUUUAAGUUACUUUAGGGAUAACAGCGUAAUUUAUCUUGAGAGUUCAUAUCGACAGAUAUAGUUGCGACCUCGAUGUUGAAUUAAAAUAUCCUCCAGGUGUAGCAGUUUUGGUGGUAGGUCUGUUCGACCUUUAAAAUUUUACAUGAUUUGAGUUCAGACCGGCGUGAG
Molecule: ribosomal RNA, 545 nt
Filed under: Caridina brachydactyla
Lineage: Eukaryota; Metazoa; Arthropoda; Malacostraca; Decapoda; Atyidae
Description: partial 16S ribosomal RNA
Rfam family: Bacterial large subunit ribosomal RNA
Source: RNAcentral